CCACAGAGUAUGUGGAGCAAAUUUUAGCGCAAGAACAAGAAAACUUGUUGUUUUUGUAGAGUUCGGAACACCAAUCAAGAGCAGUAUGUGAUGAUAUAAUGGAUGAACUCUCCUAUGAAACAUAUUGUCUCUGCAUCUGUAAUGACUUCUCUCAUUAAAGAAAACAAAGUUCUGUUGUGGUAUAAAGGAAACAACCUUUGUCAUUAUGGCCCUUUAAACUUCAAAUUUGGAUAAAAUUGUGAAUGAUCAUGCUGGGAGCUUCCAAGAUUUUUCAAGCUAUUCCAUAUGCGAACAUCAAUGUUUUUUUGAAGGCUUCAAGAGAAGAUUGCUUCCUGUGGUUCGAAGUCGUCGAAUUGCUUCCAGUGCUACUACUUUACUCACCAGCAGCGCCACAACAACUGUUGCUGUUGCCACCAUCUGUUCCUCCUCAAACUCUUCCUCAUCCAAAUAUCAGCGGAAGUUGCCUAGACUCGCAUGAAUCAAAUGAUACUGCACACGAGGCAAGCAAGG
Long non-coding RNA from Papaver somniferum (opium poppy), 510 nucleotides. RefSeq lists it as uncharacterized. The transcript has 2 exons. NCBI's taxonomy places the organism in Eukaryota, Viridiplantae, Streptophyta, Magnoliopsida, Ranunculales, Papaveraceae. The record is from RefSeq and is a predicted model, not a curated record.